Molecule: unclassified non-coding RNA, 1840 nt
Filed under: Leishmania donovani
Lineage: Eukaryota; Euglenozoa; Kinetoplastea; Trypanosomatida; Trypanosomatidae
Description: gene:LdHU3.17.1310(CDS-product:RNA-binding_protei n_putative)
Source: RNAcentral
UACACGCGUACACAUGUGGAACAAAACUGCGUGCCGGCGCUGGUUAGCGCGCUCGCCGCUUCGUCUUCGCGGAACCGCCAGUGCCGGUGGUGAGGAUAAGCGAACCUCGAAUGCUUGUGGCAGUGCCUCCCCAGGGCGAGGAGCAGUGAGCGCAUCUCAUCUUGCAACGGAGGGCACUCGCACGAGUGUGGCACCGUCUGCGCCUCCAGCGGUGGCCUCGGCAGCGCCGUCAUCAACUCUCUCGACCCUCACGCACGCUGUCGAUCAGCUUCGCGAGUUCACACGGCGCACCCAGCACACGCUACGCACACAGGAGGAAACGAUCCGGUUGAUGCAGCAGGAGCUGUUGCUCCUGACACGGCGUGUGGCGCAGCUGGAGAGCACUGCGGACGGCUUGCACGGGAAGCUCAACGAGGUGCAUCGUUCUAUAGGGGAAGUGGUGCUGGGCCAGCGAAACACCGACCUGCUUGUGCAGCAGAUGGAACGGCGGCAUCUCGCCGGGCCUGCCGGCACAGAAGCGGCGACAGGUAGUGGUAGGGGAGAGGGUGUUGCUCAAUCAACGGCGGCGCCUCUCUCCGAUACAUGCGCCUCGCCCACUGCAAGCCAUGACGGUGGUGCCUCCCUUGCAGCUGCGGCACACGCGGCUACAACAGUCGCGCCUGCCGCUUUGCCAUCAAGCGCACAACUAGCCGAGCAGGUAAGCAUUCUGCAAGCGCGGCUAGAUCAGCUCACCACCAACAUCUUCGCCGCUGAUCGCCUUGGCGCCGUCGUCGAUCGCAUGGCAGCAUCCGGAAUCGACAAGGAGAAAGUCGCAGCAAGUGUUCUGCCUUCAGAGAGCCCGUCGAGUCGUGCUAGUCUGCUCCAGCGGCUGCAGCGGCGGUACGCGCUCGGCACCUUCACGGAUGCAGCCGGCGUCACUCGCCUUUCGAGCCAGGUCGUUCGGGUGCACAACGUACCUCUGAACAUGGGUGCCAUGGAGGUGCGAGAGCUUUGUGUUCAGCACGUCUGCACGGGGAAGAACGCCGAUGAGCUGGUGAGCUGCAUGGUGCACCGCAGCACCGAUAGCAUACCUGCCGUAGCAGCAGUAGCUGGCCACGCACGCCAUCCAGUGCAGGAAGGCGUGGACUCACCCACCGACGCGGCAGCUCCUCGAUACUUGUCAAGAAAGGCGACGUCCAAGACUUCUUCCUCGUCCCUUGCCUCCGCAGACGCCGCCGCGCUGGGUGAUCUUCCUCGCAGUGACACGGUGGCUGCAAUCCGCCCAAACACGAAGACCCUUGAGGUGGUGUUCACCUCGGCCGCCGCCGCGGUGCGGGCCCUGCAGGUGCUGAACGGGAUGUACCUGCGUCCGACGCUACACGGAACACCUCUGCCGCUGGUUGUUGAGCCGGUGGUGUCGGCGGAUGUGCUGGCGGCGCUGAAGGCGUGGGAAGAAGAAGCUGCCGCAGCGUCGCAACACCUCACAAAGUAGGAGAGUUCUAAGCAUUCCUUUCCCCUCCCCGCCCCCUCUGCCGCUGAGGCAGAGGCAACGGUGCGUGGGCCUGGGGCGCGACACGAUAGUCAAGUCCACCUCAAUCGGCCGGUCAGUUGAACGGCUUGUGCGGUUACCUUAUGCUUCUUGCUAAUUACAGUGGUGUGCAUGUUUGAUGCAGCAUACGGUGCGUAUGGUGUUCGAUGUCUGUCACGGCGUUCUCUCUGACUGUAUCGUGGCUCUCCCAGAGUACGCUGUCACAUGCACCCAUUAAAUGUGGCGGCAGCUUGAAACGCCCUAAAGAAGGAAAACAAGAAGCGUGCCUUCCCUCCCCCCGCCCCCCACCCCUCCACACACAUACACACACAU